GAUGAACGCUGGCGGCGUGCUUAACACAUGCAAGUCGAACGGAAAGGCUCCUGCUUGCAGGGGUACUCGAGUGGCGAACGGGUGAGUAACACGUGGGUGAUCUGCCCUGCACUUCGGGAUAAGCCUGGGAAACUGGGUCUAAUACCGGAUAGGACGAUGUUUGUGAUGCCAUUGUGGAAAGUUUUUUCGGUGUGGGAUGAGCUCGCGGCCUAUCAGCUUGUUGGUGGGGUCAUGGCCUACCAAGGCGUCGACGGGUAGCCGGCCUGAGAGGGUGUACGGCCACAUUGGGACUGAGAUACGGCCCAGACUCCUACGGGAGGCAGCAGUGGGGAAUAUUGCACAAUGGGCGCAAGCCUGAUGCAGCGACGCAGCGUGGGGGAUGACGGCCUUCGGGUUGUAAACUCCUUUCGCUAGGGACGAAGCGCAAGUGACGGUACCUGGAGAAGAAGCACCGGCUAACUACGUG
This 466-nucleotide ribosomal RNA is filed under the name uncultured bacterium. RNAcentral's name for it is "partial 16S ribosomal RNA". It matches the Rfam family "Bacterial small subunit ribosomal RNA", at positions 28 to 507 of the family's 1533-position model. The record is from RNAcentral.